RNAcentral lists this ribosomal RNA (664 nucleotides) under uncultured Bacilli bacterium. RNAcentral's name for it is "bacterial SSU rRNA". It matches the Rfam family "Bacterial small subunit ribosomal RNA", at positions 77 to 727 of the family's 1533-position model. The record is from RNAcentral. Lineage: Bacteria; Bacillati; Bacillota; Bacilli.
AGCUUGCUCUUUCCGGAUGAGUUGCGAACGGGUGAGUAACGCGUAGGUAACCUGCCUGGUAGCGGGGGAUAACUAUUGGAAACGAUAGCUAAUACCGCAUAACAGUAGAUGUUGCAUGACGUUUACUUGAAAGGUGCAAAUGCACCACUACCAGAUGGACCUGCGUUGUAUUAGCUAGUUGGUGAGGUAACGGCUCACCAAGGCGACGAUACAUAGCCGACCUGAGAGGGUGAUCGGCCACACUGGGACUGAGACACGGCCCAGACUCCUACGGGAGGCAGCAGUAGGGAAUCUUCGGCAAUGGACGGAAGUCUGACCGAGCAACGCCGCGUGAGUGAAGAAGGUUUUCGGAUCGUAAAGCUCUGUUGUAAGAGAAGAACGAGUGUGAGAGUGGAAAGUUCACACUGUGACGGUAUCUUACCAGAAAGGGACGGCUAACUACGUGCCAGCAGCCGCGGUAAUACGUAGGUCCCGAGCGUUAUCCGGAUUUAUUGGGCGUAAAGCGAGCGCAGGCGGUUAGAUAAGUCUGAAGUUAAAGGCUGUGGCUUAACCAUAGUACGCUUUGGAAACUGUUUAACUUGAGUGCAGAAGGGGAGAGUGGAAUUCCAUGUGUAGCGGUGAAAUGCGUAGAUAUAUGGAGGAACACCGGUGGCGAAAGCGGCUC